Molecule: ribosomal RNA, 496 nt
Filed under: uncultured bacterium
Lineage: Bacteria
Description: partial 16S ribosomal RNA
Rfam family: Bacterial small subunit ribosomal RNA
Source: RNAcentral
GAUGAACGCUGGCGGCGUGCCUAAUACAUGCAAGUCGAGCGAACAGACGAGGAGCUUGCUCCUCUGCCGUUAGCGGCGGACGGGUGAGUAACACGUGGAUAACCUACCUAUAAGACUGGGAUAACUUCGGGAAACCGGAGCUAAUACCGGAUAACAUGUUGAACCGCAUGGUUCAACAGUGAAAGACGGUCUUGCUGUCACUUAUAGAUGGAUCCGCGCCGCAUUAGCUAGUUGGUAAGGUAACGGCUUACCAAGGCAACGAUGCGUAGCCGACCUGAGAGGGGGAUCGGCCACACUGGAACUGAGACCCGGUCCAGACUCCUACGGGAGGCAGCAGUAGGGAACCUUCCGAAAUGGGCGAAAGCCUGACGCAGCAACGCCGCGUGAGUGAAGAAGGUUUUCGGAUCGUAAAACGCUGUUAUUAGGGAAGAACAAAUGUGUAAGUAACGAUGCACGUCUUAAAGGUACCUAAGCAGAAAGCCACGGCUAACUACGU